Molecule: ribosomal RNA, 253 nt
Filed under: uncultured bacterium
Lineage: Bacteria
Description: partial 16S ribosomal RNA
Rfam family: Bacterial small subunit ribosomal RNA
Source: RNAcentral
UACGAAGGGUGCAAGCGUUACUCGGAAUUACUGGGCGUAAAGCGUGCGUAGGUGGUUCGUUAAGUCUGAUGUGAAAGCCCUGGGCUCAACCUGGGAAUGGCAUUGGAAACUGGCGACCUAGAGUGCGGUAGAGGGUAGUGGAAUUCCCGGUGUAGCAGUGAAAUGCGUAGAGAUCGGGAGGAACAUCCGUGGCAAAGGCGACUACCUGGACCAGCACUGACACUGAGGCACGAAAGCGUGGGGAGCAAACAGG